Non-coding RNA from Pelobates cultripes (western spadefoot toad), 244 nucleotides. The record is from the annotation of a GenBank genome assembly. NCBI's taxonomy places the organism in Eukaryota, Metazoa, Chordata, Amphibia, Anura, Pelobatidae.
GUGCAAUUCCUUCCCAAUUAUUACCAAAAUUACACUCCAUUGGUUCAACAUUUUCAGGACAGUCUUUUGCAAUAUGUCCAAAGUUUCUGCAUUUAAAGCAUUUUAUACCAUAAUUAGUACUUUUUGAUUCAUUUGUAGGCUCUUCCCACCUCCCAAAGUCUUUUUCUCUUUUAACAUUGUCUCUUGGGUAAUAAGACCCUGUUCUCUCAUCAAAAGGCCCCCUUUUCCCUGGAACAGUCUUACC